GCCCAGCCGUAAACUUUUAAUUACAUCCGAACCGCCCGGGAACUACGAGCAAAGCUUAAAACCCAAAGGACUUGACGGUUCCCCAUAUCCCCCUAGAGGAGCCUGUCCUAUAAUCGAUGAUCCACGUUUAACCUCACCAUUUUUAGUAUAUUCAGCCUGUAUACCUCCGUCGCCAGCUCACCACGUGAGUGAAACAUCAGUGAGCUAAACGGUUACCCCCCCCAUACGUCAGGUCAAGGUGCAGCUAACAAAAUGGGAAGAGAUGGGCUACACUUUCUAACUUAGAAGACACGAAAGACUAUAUAUGAAACCUAGUCGAAAGGCGGAUUUAGUAGUAAGAAGGGACCAGAAUGCCCUUCUUAACCUGGCACUGGGGCGCGUACACACCGCCCGUCACCCUCUUCAAAGCCAAAUAACAGUUCUUAACCCCUGCCUGCGUAAAAGAAGAGGCAAGUCGUAACAUGGUAAGUAUACCGGAAGGUGUGCUUGGAAAC
This 494-nucleotide ribosomal RNA is filed under the name Fritziana goeldii (Goeldi's frog). RNAcentral describes it as "partial small subunit ribosomal RNA". It matches the Rfam family "Bacterial small subunit ribosomal RNA", at positions 794 to 1522 of the family's 1533-position model. The record is from RNAcentral. Lineage: Eukaryota; Metazoa; Chordata; Amphibia; Anura; Hemiphractidae.